This 468-nucleotide ribosomal RNA is filed under the name uncultured bacterium. Its description in RNAcentral is "partial 16S ribosomal RNA". It matches the Rfam family "Bacterial small subunit ribosomal RNA", at positions 28 to 507 of the family's 1533-position model. The record is from RNAcentral.
GACGAACGCUGGCGGCGUGCUUAACACAUGCAAGUCGAACGGAAAGGCCCUGCUUUUGUGGGGUGCUCGAGUGGCGAACGGGUGAGUAACACGUGAGUAACCUGCCCUUGACUUUGGGAUAACUUCAGGAAACUGGGGCUAAUACCGGAUAGGAGCUCCUGCUGCAUGGUGGGGGUUGGAAAGUUUCGGCGGUUGGGGAUGGACUCGCGGCUUAUCAGCUUGUUGGUGGGGUAGUGGCUUACCAAGGCUUUGACGGGUAGCCGGCCUGAGAGGGUGACCGGCCACAUUGGGACUGAGAUACGACCCAGACUCCUACAGGAGGCAGCAGUGUUGAAUAUUACACAAUGGGCGGAAGCCUGAUGCAGCAACGCCGCGUGCGGGAUGACGGCCUUCGGGUUGUAAACCGCUUUCGCCUGUGACGAAGCGUGAGUGACGGUAAUGGGUAAAGAAGCACCGGCUAACUACGUG